ACGACGAAUACUUAGUCAAGAUCAUUGCUAUAGUAUUUGUGAUGUUUUAUUGUUAAAAACGAACAGAUUGUCGAGAAGUGAUGAUGAUUUGGCACUGCUCGGAUAUGAAAUUAAUUUUCAACAUUUUUUACAAUUUCCUUUUUGAGAUUGUUUAAAGUGUCCGAAAAGCGAUGAAUUAUUUCUUUUUCCUCAAUUUAAAAGAUUUUAUAAUCCUUUUUUUUGUUGAAGAGAAAACGAGCAUGUGUCGACUGAACUUUU
Molecule: small nucleolar RNA, 258 nt
Filed under: Plasmodium ovale (malaria parasite P. ovale)
Lineage: Eukaryota; Apicomplexa; Aconoidasida; Haemosporida; Plasmodiidae
Also listed under: 1 other name
Description: PowCR01_140063100
Rfam family: ACEA small nucleolar RNA U3
About the family: Small nucleolar RNAs (snoRNAs) are involved in the processing and modification of rRNA in the nucleolus.
Source: RNAcentral